UUGGUACGAGUGAGUAAUUGAUAGAAAUAAACUGAUAUUGAAAAGGAAAUAAGAAAGACCUCUUUUCUAACAACCAUAUUUGGGAAAGAUAUUUGGGAUUUGAAGACCAUGUUUUUUUUAGGUGUUUUAGUUUUUUUUAUUUAAUUUUCUCCCAAUCAAGGAGAUGCUGAUGUUAAACAAUUGAUACUUCUCUUAUAUUUUAAUUUGAUAGUAUUUUAUCCAUGCUCUUGUCUGAUUUUUCC
RNAcentral lists this long non-coding RNA (242 nucleotides) under Lathyrus oleraceus (garden pea). RNAcentral describes it as "Pisum sativum (pea) long non-coding RNA (PSAT_LNC023594)". The record is from RNAcentral. Lineage: Eukaryota; Viridiplantae; Streptophyta; Magnoliopsida; Fabales; Fabaceae.